Molecule: ribosomal RNA, 530 nt
Filed under: uncultured bacterium
Lineage: Bacteria
Description: bacterial SSU rRNA
Rfam family: Bacterial small subunit ribosomal RNA
Source: RNAcentral
AAUAGAUACCCAGGUAGUCCACGCCGUAAACGAUGAGUGCUAAGUGUUAGAGGGUUUCCGCCCUUUAGUGCUGCAGCUAACGCAUUAAGCACUCCGCCUGGGGAGUACGGCCGCAAGGCUGAAAACUCAAAGGAAUUGACGGGGGCCCGCACAAGCGGUGGAGCAUGUGGUUUAAUUCGAAGCAACGCGAAGAACCUUACCAGGUCUUGACAUCCUCUGACAACCCUAGAGAUAGGGCUUUCCCCUUCGGGGGACAGAGUGACAGGUGGUGCAUGGUUGUCGUCAGCUCGUGUCGUGAGAUGUUGGGUUAAGUCCCGCAACGAGCGCAACCCUUGAUCUUAGUUGCCAGCAUUCAGUUGGGCACUCUAAGGUGACUGCCGGUGACAAACCGGAGGAAGGUGGGGAUGACGUCAAAUCAUCAUGCCCCUUAUGACCUGGGCUACACACGUGCUACAAUGGAUGGUACAAAGGGCUGCAAACCUGCGAAGGUAAGCGAAUCCCAUAAAGCCAUUCUCAGUUCGGAUUGCAGG